This 257-nucleotide ribosomal RNA is filed under the name uncultured bacterium. Its description in RNAcentral is "partial 16S ribosomal RNA". It matches the Rfam family "Bacterial small subunit ribosomal RNA", at positions 524 to 777 of the family's 1533-position model. The record is from RNAcentral.
GACGUAGGGCGCGAGCGUUGUCCGGAUUUAUUGGGCGUAAAGAGCUCGUAGGCGGCUUGUCGCGUCGAAUGUGAAAACCCACGGCUCAACUGUGGGCUUGCAUUCGAUACGGGGCAGACUGGAGUAUUGCAGGGGAGACUGGAAUUCCGCGUGUAGCAGUGAAAUGCGUAGAUAUGCGGAGGAACACCGAUGGCGAAGGCAAUCCCCUGGACCUGUACUGACGCUCAUGCACCGAAAGACGUGGGGAGCAAACGAGG